GACGAACGCUGGCGGCGUGCUUAACACAUGCAAGUCGAACGGAAAGGCCCUGCUUUUGUGGGGUGCUCGAGUGGCGAACGGGUGAGUAACACGUGAGUAACCUGCCCUUGACUUUGGGAUAACUUCAGGAAACUGGGGCUAAUACCGGAUAGGAGCUCCUGCUGCAUGGUGGGGGUUGGAAAGUUUCGGCGGUUGGGGAUGGACUCGCGGCUUAUCAGCUUGUUGGUGGGGUAGUGGCUUACCAAGGCUUUGACGGGUAGCCGGCCUGAGAGGGUGACCGGCCACAUUGGGACUGAGAUACGACCCAGACUCCUACGGGAGGCAGCGGUGGGGAAGAUUGCACAAUGGGCGGAAGGAUGAUGCAGCAACGCCGCGUGGGGGAUGACGGCCUGCGGGUUGUAAACCGCUUUCGCCUGUGACGAAGCGUGAGUGACGGUAAUGGGUAAAGAAGCACCGGCUAACUACGUG
RNAcentral lists this ribosomal RNA (468 nucleotides) under uncultured bacterium. Its description in RNAcentral is "partial 16S ribosomal RNA". It matches the Rfam family "Bacterial small subunit ribosomal RNA", at positions 28 to 507 of the family's 1533-position model. The record is from RNAcentral.